GACCCCUAAACCCCUUCAUUUCUUUGUUUUGGCUAAGGUUGAAGAAACCCUAGCCUUCACUGCGUCUCCAUGGUCAAAUAUGGCAAUUGGCAGUGUACAACUUGCUUUGCAGCUCAAGUUCAAUCGAUUCGGGCAAAGAAAUUAAUGCUUUGCCCUCUCUCCACUAUUGUUCAACCCAAACACGGUAUAACCUCGUCCUUUACUUGCUUUUUCUGCCUUUUUUCUAUGGUCAAAGGACCAAUUCUUUAAUUAGUUUUGUUGUUUUACGAAUUUGAACUCAUGAUUUCUAUGCCAAAUUUGAGAGGGAUUCAAGAGGAUCCCCCCGCCCCCCCCACCCACCCCAAAAAAAAACCCCAAGUCCCAUAUCGAAUUUGGAUUAGGAUUUUUAGAUUUUUGGAGUUCUACAUAAAGAACCCCAUAUUUCACUUCAACACAUCCAUUAUUCACGAAUAUACACACAAAAGUCUCAUAAAUUCAGAGAAAAAUACACUUAGUAUACCUAGGGAUCUUGCAAGUUUGCUGGAACCUUUAAUUUACUAAGUUUUUAUGGUCUAAAGUUUUAUUUCUUUCUUUUGUUUUGUGGCUGAGUUCAUGUGGAGGAGAAGCAUUUCCAAUUCCAUUUUUGACAACAGGUUGCCCGAAGAAAAGAUUUGUGGGCUUGGGAGGAGAAUGUUAAGUAGUUAAGGAGACGUAAAGGUAGGCAGGGAGACGGAUCAGACCCCUAGGCUGCUUUAUCUGCGAUUUCUUAGGAGUGCUCCAUUUGUUCUGGAGCUACAGUUUAGCUGGUACUAUUCUUUUGUGUAUAUAUGGGCAUGGCGGGGUCCUGUCCCGUCUUUAUGAUGUUAUGUACUCCAUGUAGAGGCUCGUAGGCAGAUGUAUAUGGUUAGAUGUCCUAUAACCUCACCGGUUCAUGUUUUGUGUAUCAUUUUUGGCAGCCUUGUCGGCUUGUACAUAUGGGCAUAGUUGAUGAUGUUUAUA
This is a long non-coding RNA of Lycium barbarum (goji berry), 978 nucleotides long. RefSeq lists it as uncharacterized. The record is from RefSeq and is a predicted model, not a curated record. Lineage: Eukaryota; Viridiplantae; Streptophyta; Magnoliopsida; Solanales; Solanaceae. The transcript has 3 exons.